This 678-nucleotide long non-coding RNA is filed under the name Anas platyrhynchos platyrhynchos (common mallard). Its description in RNAcentral is "lncRNA (ENSAPLG00000028826.1)". Lineage: Eukaryota; Metazoa; Chordata; Aves; Anseriformes; Anatidae. The record is from RNAcentral.
UGGAACAGUAUUUGCAGUCAGGAAUGUGGUGCUGCAGUCAAGGUCCUUCAUGGCCUUCAUGACUGAAACCAAACAGGUUCAGGGCAGGAAGGAUUCAAGGACGGGUCCACCAACAGCAUUAGGAGAGCAGAUAAAACCUCGGGAAAUCUCUGAAUCCAAGUGGUGGGAUGAGCUUGGUCCCUCUUGUUCCCCAAAACAGAUGAAAAGGCAGGGAAGAGUGUUAAGAUGAAUUUGAUGAAGAAGAACCCACAGCUAGAUGCCUGGGACUAGGAUGAGCUUCAGAGCUGGGACGCAGCAGUGGGGAGGCUUUGCUGGGUGUCCUCUCAUUCUGAAGAUACGAGAGUGUCACGACUAGAUUUGGUGUAGAAACCAGGUCUUGGGACAUACAGAUGUACGUAUUUGCCCACAUUUCCUCACCCAUCUGCUCUGUUCAGGGCUUGUUGUGUUUAAGGGUUGCUGUUUGUUUGAAUACAAAUGAUCUUUAUGACCAGAACAAAAUAUUUUGAUGUGGAAAUCAUCUUUAACUGAAAUUUUAACCAAAGAGAUAAAAAGGUAUUGCCAAAGUAGGUGCAAAACCUCCACUUUUGUUUUUGUAAAAACCAGUCCCAACAUUUCUUUAAUUGAAAGAAUUGAAAAAAGGAAUGUGUGUAUUUAUCCUGACUGCAUAGAUCAUUUUUG